UCCCUGUUGGUCUAGUGGUUAGGAUUCCGGGCUUUCACUGCUGUGGCCCAGGUUCAAUCCCUAGUCAGGGAA
RNAcentral lists this transfer RNA (72 nucleotides) under Capra hircus (goat). It matches the Rfam family "tRNA". Rfam says of the family: Transfer RNA (tRNA) molecules are approximately 80 nucleotides in length. Their secondary structure includes four short double-helical elements and three loops (D, anti-codon, and T loops). Lineage: Eukaryota; Metazoa; Chordata; Mammalia; Artiodactyla; Bovidae. The record is from Rfam by way of RNAcentral. RNAcentral also lists the same sequence under 1 other name.